ACAAGAACAAUAAAAACGUACCCCCUCCAUAACAAAAACAAGACGUAGCGACUCCAGCACAACAAGAACAAGCAGGCGGAGGCGUAGCUAACUGAUCAUUUUGGAGAAGAGUCGUCUUGCGGGAUGGUCCCGCGAUGUCAGGCCAGAGAACAAUAAAACUGCCCCGAGGCAGCACCCGUACCAGGCAGAGCAGGAAUGAUCCUGACGACAUCAGCUUCCAAAGUAAUCCGUUUGCUCUUGGCUCUAGACUUCAGAGCCUUUCCGGCGGCCGGUAUCCGCACGGGACAGACCACACAAGAAAAACAAGAGGUCUGGAUAGACAAUAAAAACAAAGCACGUACCACUUUGGGGGGGAGCUUCGGCUCCCCCAGUGCCUUUGACAGC
Molecule: small RNA, 384 nt
Filed under: Pseudomonas oryzihabitans
Lineage: Bacteria; Pseudomonadati; Pseudomonadota; Gammaproteobacteria; Pseudomonadales; Pseudomonadaceae
Description: Pseudomonas sRNA CrcZ
Rfam family: Pseudomonas sRNA CrcZ
Source: RNAcentral